Molecule: ribosomal RNA, 1165 nt
Filed under: uncultured organism
Description: bacterial SSU rRNA
Rfam family: Bacterial small subunit ribosomal RNA
Source: RNAcentral
CUAGCGGCGCGCUUACGCAUGCAAGUCGAGCGAUGAGGCUCCCUUCGGGGGGUACAUCAGCGGCAGACGGGUGAGUAACACGUAGGUAACCUGCCCUCAAGACGGGGAUAACGCCUGGAAACGGGCGCUAAUACCGGAUGACCUUAGUUGGGGAAGCACCGGCUAAGGAAAGGCUUUGGCGCUUGAGGAGGGGCCUGCGGCCCAUCAGUUAGUUGGUAGGGUAACGGCCUACCAAGGCGAAGACGGGUAGGGGGUGUGAGAGCACGGNCCCCCACACUGGGACUGAGACACGGCCCAGACUCCUACGGGAGGCAGCAGCGGGGAAUAUUGCGCAAUGGACGGAAGUCAGACGCAGCGACGCCGCGUGGGUGAAGAAGGCCUUCGGGUUGUAAAGCCCUUUUCUGUGGGAAGAGGAAGGACGGUACCAUAGGAAUAAGCGUCGGCUAACUACGUGCCAGCAGCCGCGGUAAGACGUAGGACGCGAGCGUUAUCCGGAUUUACUGGGCGUAAAGCGUGUGUAGGCGGCGUGACAAGUUGGGCCGUGAAAGCCCCGUGCUCAACGCGGGGAGGCCGCACAAUACUGCCAGGCUAGAGGGCAUCAGAGGGGUGUGGAAUUCCCGGAGUAGCGGUAAAAUGCGCAGAUAUCGGGAGGAACACCGGUGGCGAAAGCGGCACCCUGGGGUGCACCUGACGCUGAGAGACGACAGCUAGGGGAGCGAACAGGAUUAGAGACCCUGGUAGUCCUAGCCGUAAACGAUGGAUGCUAGGUGUGGGAGUGAAGAACUUCUGUGCCGCAGCGAACGCGAUAAGCAUCCCGCCUGGGGAGUACGGCCGCAAGGUUAAAACUCAAACGAAUUGACGGGGACCCGCACAAGCAGCGGAGCGUGUGGUUUAAUUCGAUGCUACACGAAGAACCUUACCUGGGAUUGACAUAUGGGUGGUAGUGAGCCGAAAGGCAAGCGACCCUUCGGGGAGCCUAUACAGGUGCUGCAUGGCUGUCGUCAGCUCGUGCCGUGAGGUGUCGGGUUAAGUCCCGUAACGAGCGCAACCCCUGUCCUUAGUUACAAGUGUCUAAGGGGACUGCCGGCGGGAAGCCGGAGGAAGGUGGGGAUGACGUCAAGUCAGCAUGGCCCUUAUAUCCAGGGCGACACACACGCUACAAUGG